GCACCUACGGGAGGCAGCAGUGGGGAAUAUUGCACAAUGGGGGAGACCCUGAUGCAGCGACGCCGCGCGAGUGAAGAAGUAAUUCGUUAUGUAAAGCUCUAUCAGCAGGGAAGAAAAUGACGGUACCUGAGUAAGAAGCCCCGGCUAACUACGUGCCAGCAGCCGCGGUAAUACGUAGGGGGCAAGCGUUAUCCGGAUUUACUGGGUGUAAAGGGAGCGUAGACGGCGAUGCAAGCCAGAUGUGAAAGCCCGGGGCUCAACCCCGGGACUGCAUUUGGAACUGUGUGGCUGGAGUGUCGGAGAGG
Molecule: ribosomal RNA, 305 nt
Filed under: uncultured bacterium
Lineage: Bacteria
Description: bacterial SSU rRNA
Rfam family: Bacterial small subunit ribosomal RNA
Source: RNAcentral